GAUCUUUAUUUUUAUUUUUUUAUAAAUUAAUAAAAUUUUUAUAAUUUAUAGAAAAAUUAAAAAUUUUACUGGGGUGGUAUUAAAAUUUAAUUAACUUUUAUUUAUAAUAACAUAAAUUUAUGAAUUAUUGAUCCAAUUAUAUUGAUUAAAAAAUUAAGUUACCUUAGGGAUAACAGCGUAAUUUUUUUUUAGAGUUCAUAUCGACAAAAAAGAUUGC
This 217-nucleotide ribosomal RNA is filed under the name Wyeomyia surinamensis. RNAcentral describes it as "partial 16S ribosomal RNA". Lineage: Eukaryota; Metazoa; Arthropoda; Insecta; Diptera; Culicidae. The record is from RNAcentral.